Long non-coding RNA from Bos indicus x Bos taurus (hybrid cattle), 1325 nucleotides. The record is from Ensembl. Lineage: Eukaryota; Metazoa; Chordata; Mammalia; Artiodactyla; Bovidae.
CACCCCUUCGAGGCUUCCUGGACUAAAGAGCUCGGCUGUCAACAAGUGGACACCUCCCUGCAGGAUGCUUUAGAUGCUGGCCAGCCAGGGAGCACCUGGCCCCAAAGCACCCCUAGUUGGGGUAGGAGGGCUGGACUCACAUGUAAAAAUCGGUGUGGUGAACAGCUGUAUGGCUGGUUCCUACUUCUAGGUUUGUUCAAAGUGUGGUGCUCAGUCCCUUUUAGCUGUCAUCCAUAACGAUCUUGGCCUUGGAGGCCAGAGUGACCUUGGGCAAGACGUGCCACCUUAACUGAGCUUCAGCUGAAGAAUGGGGCAAGAGCAUCUCUCCAUGGAGUCAUGUUAGAGAGGAAAGGAAACAAACUGUAAAGCAUCUAGUUAGAAAUUGCAGGAAGAAAUGUUUCUCUGUUCCCUUUCUCCCCAGACUCCUGAAGCCUGUUGAGGUGGAGUGCAGGCCCACAUGCUCCCCUCCUGUGGUUUGACUCUCAUCCACCACAGGCUGGUUCUGCAGGGUCCAGGCGUCCCCAAGCCCUCCCCGUCUCGUCUGCCUGGAAGAGCAGCCGCCAGGGUGUUGACGUGCCUCUGAUGAUCUUCCCCUCGAGGAAGCCGAGUGAUAGUGGUGCGGACAUGUGCUGAGCCUCCCUCUCAUCUCAAGCUCGUCAUCGGCUCCCAUAGGCAGGCACCGGAGGGGCUCCCAGCCAGCUGGGCGGGCUCCAGGCAGCAGACUCUGGUUUGCACAGGGGCUGAUUCAGGGAGGAGGGGCAGGUCCGUCACGGGGACAACUCACUGAACACUCAGUCUUUCCUGAGCCCUGGGCUGGCUCAAACCUAGAAACAGGAAGUGGCAACGUUGAUGUGGUGGGAGCCCAGGAAGCCCAGGCACCUCACUGUUGGUGUGGGGAAACUCAGUGCAAAGGACCAGAGCUCAGACUGAUUUCUUCAACAAACAUGAUUCAGAAUGACUUGCAGACUUGGCACCAUGAUGGGGACGGGAACCCAGCCCCUACCUCUCGUAUGGGCUUCCAGGGCACACGCAGGAUCCUUGAGCUGAAUCCUCAACCCCAUGGGCUUGUCUUUGACCUGGAUGUCCCUCCUAGCCGGGGAUUUGGAUUUUCCAUCUGACCAGGCAUUCCUUCCUUCCUUCAUCAAACUCAUAUGGAGCAGUCGAGGUGGCGUAUGCUGGGCUGUGCUCAUGAGGCGUGAACAGUGCUGUGAUCUGCAGGGGAGGUCAUCAGACAACUCACUUACUCUGUGUGUUGGCGGGGAGUGUUGAGUGGGUGGGGAGAGUGAAGUUGAAGAGGAAUAAAAUGCUGUCCUUGAACUCUGGCA